RNAcentral lists this ribosomal RNA (301 nucleotides) under uncultured bacterium. RNAcentral describes it as "partial 16S ribosomal RNA". It matches the Rfam family "Bacterial small subunit ribosomal RNA", at positions 509 to 807 of the family's 1533-position model. The record is from RNAcentral.
CAGUAGCCGCGGUAAUACAGAGGGUGCAAGCGUUAAUCGGAAUUACUGGGCGUAAAGCGCGCGUAGGUGGUUUGUUAAGUUUGAUGUGAAAUCCCCGGGCUCAACCUGGGAACUGCAUCCAAAACUGGCAAGCUAUAGUAUGGUAGAGGGUGGUGGAAUUUCCUGUGUAGCGGUGAAAUGCGUAGAUAUAGGAAGGAACACCAGUGGCGAAGGCGACCACCUGGACUGAUACUGACACUGAGGUGCGAAAGCGUGGGGAGCAAACAGGAUUAGAUACCCCAGUAGUCCCUGUCUCUUAUAC